CAAAUAAAUUAGAGAGAUAGACAUGAAGAGACUCACAAGAGAAAGAAGAGAGGCCCACGAAUCCAAGGAGGGAGGAUAAGUAAAAGCUAGCAAGCUUUGAUCAAAUAAGAAAGAAGAAGAAGAAUAGAACCACAAAGGUAAGCCUCAAAUUCUAGAACUCUUCAUCUCUUUUGAUUUUAUUUCUUUGAGUUGAUUAGUUGUUGGUGGUUAUUGUAAUGGAAGAUCGUGAUGGAUCUUGAAGAUAUAAGGAUAGAUUUUUUGGAUAUUGGAUGUUAACAUGUUAGGAUUUCAUGAAAAUCAAGUUUUUAAGCAUGCACAUCAUUUGUUUGAUAACCUAGAAGAAAUUAUUAUAUUUAAAUAUGAAAAUUAUCUACUAUUUGUGGAAAUUUUUAGAUGUAUAUGUCAGUUAUGAGUUAACUCAAGAUGGUUUGAUGGUUUGAAAUGAUUUCAAAAUGGGAUUUGAAGAAAUUCUUACAAACUAGUUAAAAUUAAAAUCGUAAGCCUAUGAGUUAAGGAUGGAAAAACAUUAUGUAGAUGACUUUAAUCGAACUAAUGAAAUCGUUAGAUCAUAAGAUGUAUAUUAAAUUCCGAGAAGAAGGAAUUAAGUGUAUGGGAGUUAUGAAAAUGUUUCCAUUGGAACAGAGUAAAAAAUGUGUUAAAACGAAGUCCUGAAGAUUUUUUUUGGUAAAAGAUGUAAAAUGAAGAAAAGUUAGUCUCGGGGAUGGGGGAACUUUUGAGCCAAUUUUUUAGGAUUGUUAGAGAAUAUGAAAAAUUAUUUCGUUCGAAGGGAUGCCUAGAGAAUGUUACAACAAAGAAAAUGACGUAAGACCGAGCUCAUUCCGAUAUCGGACAAGCAAGUUAUGAUGCAUCAAAGUAAGCACGUUAAAACUAUACGAAGUCAAAAUUUUGACAAAGUUUGAAAAAGUGCAGAGGCUUCAGUGGCUGCAGAGCCGUCUACUCUAGCCAUAAGCUAAUUUGAGACCGCCAGCGCUAGAUUCGCAUAUCCAGAUCCGUCCACAUUGGCCAUAGGGAAAAUUAAGAUUCGGUUGCGCUGGAUCCGUAGAAGGUUGGACAAUCUAGACAUCCUUUAGUAAAGUGGACAUAACUCUUUUGUAUGAACUUCGAUUGAGGUGAUUCAAGAUGAUCCGAAAAGAUAAGAAAUAGACCUAAAAUUUUUAUUAUUUAAGUUUUGAGAUUUGAGGUCGGGAGAAGGGUCUAAAAUGGCCAUUUGUAGGACUGUUGUGCAGUUGAAGGCAAUCGAAGGGCGUCGGGCAUGCGCGUAUACAAUGUGUAAUGCUUCUGACAAUAAAAUAUAUUAUUCUAAGUUCUAAAACUUUAACAUUAUGAAAUAUAAUGAUAUUUAACAUUAAUCAAUGAUGAAUUAGAUAAGUGUAUAAGCAUGCUAAGUAUAUGCAAAGGUGGCAAAUCGGGCAUGUGACAUAUGAACGUCAAAACGUCGUGACACAUGUUAAUGAACUUAAAAGGUGUUUCAAUUCAAAUGAAAUGAACAUGAUAAUAUAUGGAGUGGGGUUAAUAUAAACCAAUAAGGAUGUAUGAUUAUGAGGGUUGUAACGUUUAUGAACGACACGACGCUUAGAAAUGUUUGGAAGAUGGUCGCGUUAAUUAAACUAUAAUGCGCGAACAAUAUGAAAUAAGAAUUAAUAUAAACCAAGUUGAGCGUCAUUAAGUGACUAAUUGGUAUGUUAUACAUUAUCGAUAUAUGUAGGUUAUUCGAAGAGCUAUGUAGUGUAAGUAGUAAAGGAACAUAAAAGGAAAGUUUCCUAACUUACUCAAUAUUUGCAUUUGAGCAAGUUUUCCAACUUCAUAUGAUAAUUUUCUUAUGAAGGCUAUUUGAUGUAUUAAGGUUCAAUUUACAUACUAUAUAUAUAUAUAUAUAUAUAUAUAUAUAUAUAUAUAUAUAUUGUGUGUGUGUGUGGAUGCUAAAUGUGUGCAAUUUCUUUAAUAAUUGUACUAGAUGUUCAAGCUAUGCUAAGUUACAGAGCUAUAUAUGUUUGAUGUUUGAAUUUCAUUAGUUACAUGAGAUUCAUUAGAUGAGAUGAGAUGAAUUAUUCUAUUCAGAAAUCUUAUUGAUGUAGAUGUGAAUUAUAAUAAUUCUUGAAUUGUGAUAAGUGUUGAUGCCAAAUCAAUAAUUUGGGCAAUUAAUAGUAUAGUUUGCACUUUGUGCGACAAUGGAUUUAUGUAGAUAGAUAUGGAUAUGAUUACACCACGUGCAAUGAUAUGAUGGCAAUUAUAAGAAAUAAAGUGCUAGACCAAUAUCCACACUUAGGUGCAAUCCAAAGAAAUUUUCUAAAAAUUGGAUUGUUUAAGAUGCUAAGUUCUAAACAGCAAGAACUAUGAUGAGAAAUAUGUCGAUUUUAAUUGUUUUAAAAUAUGGUGAUGGUUAGGAUGAUGUUAGAAAUGUUUUUUGAUAAGGAAUCUAAAUUAUUCCUUAUAUAUUAUUUUUAUGACUUCACAAUUAUUGUUUCAAUUGUUGAAGAUUUCAUCAUAUGUUAUUCUAAUCCUAUGGUGUUGUUUAUUCAACCGUUUAUACUUUCUUGGAAAUUGAAUGCUCACCAUUGCUAAAUACAAAUAUUUUUUAGCUAAGCCAAAGCAGAUCAAAGGAUUCGAUAAAGUCAGAAGAUGAAGAAUUAAUGCUUGAAGAUGCUUUGUAUUAAUCCCCUAACUCUUUGUUGGAAGGUGGAGCUGCAUAAGAGGGUAUAAUACCCAGAGGAAAUCCAUUGCUGAUAAAUUAGAGUUGUUGGAUUCUAAAGGCUCGGCUAGCUCGAGCUCUGUCCAGUGGAAUGAGUUUGCCGAGAACGGCUUGAGCUGAGCCGUGAAGGGUUUGUGGGCAAGCGAUGUUCAGGUCCCAAAACUUCGAGUCCAUGGUCGUUCUCAGGUUGGCCAUUUUCGGCCAAUUUAUAGCACCAGUUAGAAGAAAGUUUUUUGAGCAAGAGAGACUGGAGACAGAAAGCCCCCAACUCUUUGUUGAAAGAUGGAGCUGUGUCGACUCGGGGGACUAGCUUUCCUGGAUUUUUUUAUUUCUUACCCUUUGUAUUUCGCUAGGUUGAUGAUUUAUUUAAAGGAUGAGAUUUUAUGAAAUGACCAACAUAUAUACAUGUCGAGGAUUUUGAAAAGGUUGAUUUUAUGCAAUUAGACCAAAUUAGACAAAGUCAUCAGGUGGUAUGAGUUCAAAAGGAUGUAACAAUUCAUCCAGAUUUUAAAAGGUUUUUUGUAAUAUGGCCC
RNAcentral lists this long non-coding RNA (3243 nucleotides) under Panax ginseng (ginseng). RNAcentral describes it as "long non-coding RNA (PGIN_LNC004292)". The record is from RNAcentral. Lineage: Eukaryota; Viridiplantae; Streptophyta; Magnoliopsida; Apiales; Araliaceae.